Molecule: non-coding RNA, 6121 nt
Organism: Sus scrofa (pig)
Lineage: Eukaryota; Metazoa; Chordata; Mammalia; Artiodactyla; Suidae
Source: RefSeq, a predicted model, not a curated record
GCGUGUCCUUCAUUUAUUUGUUAACCGUUUAUGGUAUUAUUUACAGGCGGGGUCGCAUCCCACCGCUCUGGAUCCGCGGAAUGGAGAGUAAACGGAGGAGGGUUCCCCGGGGAGGGGAGAGGAACGCGUCCGAGCCCGGCUGUCAGUCUGGGUGCUCUGUGCGCCGCUUUUUUCCCUUUCGAGGUCUGGAGCAGCGUGUCGGGGCGGGGCUCAGCCUCACCCUGGCUGAGCCUCGGGCUGCAGGCCUUUCCUGCACAGACUCUGCGCUCGGCCUGAACUUGACCGCAGGCUGGAGGCGCCUGCGGAGCGAAUGUGGUGGGCUGGGUCGGAAGGAGGAAGAGACCUCGGAAGGGACGACGGACGCGAGAAGACAGCACCUGCCUGCUCGUGUUUCCCUUUCGCGCGGCCCAGAGUCGCCCAGCAGCAAACCCCGGACGCGAGGAUGCCGCGGGGCUCGAGCUCCGCGCCGUCGCUGCUGCCGCGGCAGGGCUGAGGGCGACGGGGCGACAGCCGGAAUCUGUACGCGGAGCGGGUGGUUGGCAGGCGAGACCGCGCGGCGGAAAGUGCGGUACCCCAGCCGCCUGCAGUGCCGCGCGGUCCGGACGCGGUGCUUCCUGCGCGUGUUGCCCUGGCCACUCAUCUGUCUGAGCCCGGGAGCCGCGCCCAGGAUCGCCAACUGUCCAAAGUUGCAUCAGUUUUCUGGAAGACAGCCCGUUGUUCCACUGACCUUUUUCUUCAUUCCUGAGCCCGCUGGAGUUAUGUCCACAGCCGCCUUAAUUACUUUGGUUAGACGCGGCGGGACCCAAGUGAGAAGCAGAGCGCUGCUCAGCGGCCGCCUGCUGCAGGACGGCAGGUGGGGGGUGACGCCCACGUGCCCCGGCUCCACGUCGGAGCCCAGGUGUUCACGGUUUGAUCCCGAUGGUAGCGGCCGGCCGGCCACCUGGGAUAAUUUCGGCUUCUGGGAUAACCGCAUAGACGAGCCAAUUUUGCUGCCGCCCAGCAUCAAGUACGGCAAGCCGAUUCCCAAAGUCAGCUUGGCGAACGUGGGCGGCGCCUCGCAGAUCGGCAAACGCAAAGAGAACGAAGACCGCUUUGACUUCGCUCAGCUCACGGACCAGAUCCUGUACUUUGCGGUGUAUGACGGCCACGGCGGGCCCGCCGCUGCCGAUUUCUGCCACACCCACAUGGAGCAGUGCAUCCUGGAUUUGCUUCCUAAGGAGCAGGACUUGGAGACUGUGUUGACCUUGGCUUUUCUAGAAAUAGAUAAAGCCUUUGCAAGGCACGCCCACCUCUCUGCUGAUGGCAUAUAGAGUUCCCAGCCAGGGAUUAGUUAUCAACUUUUUCUGUUUGCAUGGAGCCUUGUUACUGAGUUAAGUACUUCUUUCUCUGCAUGCUCUUACUUACAUAGUUCAUUUGCAUUUUAUUUGCAUAGCUCUAGUUAAAUUAGAAUGAUGCAUUUCAGCAUUAGUUUGACAUGCCUGUGUUUUAUUUUGUAAUAAUAAUUCCAUUGCCAAUCAUUUGACUGUCACUGACUGUACUCUUUAUCAUAAUGUUUGCAGCAACCCUUCUGACUUCUGGGACUACUGCAACAGUAGCCCUGUUGAGAGAUGGCAUUGAACUGGUUGUAGCCAGUGUUGGGGACAGCCGAGCUAUUUUGUGUAGAAAAGGAAAACCCAUGAAGCUGACCAUUGACCAUACUCCGGAAAGAAAAGAUGAAAAAGAAAGGAUCAAGAAAUGCGGAGGUUUUGUAGCUUGGAAUAGUUUGGGGCAGCCUCACGUGAAUGGCAGGCUUGCGAUGACCAGGAGUCUUGGAGAUUUGGAUCUUAAAACCAGUGGUGUGAUAGCAGAACCCGAAACAAGAAGGAUUAAGCUACAUCACGCUGAUGACAGCUUCCUGGUCCUCACCACAGAUGGAAUUAACUUCAUGGUGAACAGUCAAGAGAUUUGUGACUUUGUCAACCAGUGCCACGACCCCAGUGAAGCAGCCCAUGCAGUGACUGAACAGGCAAUCCAGUAUGGUACUGAAGAUAACACUACCGCAGUAGUGGUGCCCUUUGGCGCUUGGGGAAAAUACAAGAACUCUGAAGUCACCUUCUCGUUCAGCAGAAGCUUUGCCUCCAGCGGACGAUGGGCCUGACACUUGCUGGGACUUAGAGUUUCUGUGUGACAGCUUUCACUGAGUGUGUCAAGAAACUGAUGAGAUCACAGAAGUCACCUGUACUGGGGUAACUCUAGGACUGUAGACCAGCACACAGAUCAGUGUCAAAGUCGUAACCAUUUACGUGGUAGUUUUUCAUAAAUACUUGUCAUAUUUAUGUUUAGCCAAUUGUACAUACUUAGUAUGAAUAGAUGUGUAAUUCAGCUAUGGUGAGUGAGUCUCUGAGUUGAGUGAGCAAAUGAAAAAUGUUUUUGAUACACUUACUGAGUGCUAAAUUUCUAUUUCUUUCUUUUUUUUUUUUUUUUUCAAUGGCCACCACUGCGGCAUGUGUGGUUCCCAGCCCAAGGAUUGAAUCUGAGCCACAGCUGUGGCCCACGCCAGAUCCUUUAACACACUGUGCUGGGCCCAGGGAUCGAACCCGUGCCUCUGCAGCCUCCCUAGCUGCUGCAGUUGAAUUUAGCAACCCCUCAAUUUCUAAUCUUUACAACUCUUAGGCAGCUAUGAGUUUCUCAUGAUCAUUUCUGAUCUUUAUUCAUUUGACCAGUUUCUUGCCAAGUUCUUACAAACUGAGUAUUUUGACAGCUACUCAAUGUGAUAUCUGCAAGUGUUUAUUUUUAAUAACUGUACCAAGGAGUACAUAUGAAAACAGUUCUCUGUUUGUAUUUUGUAGUCCAGAUCACUUAUUGGUAAAUGUACCAAUGCAGAAGAAAUUAAUUCAGCUGAUAAGACACCACUAAACUGCAUACAAAUGUACAACAGUGCACUUAGAUAUUUCAACCGUGUCACCAGGUCUCCUCUGCCCUCACCCAAUUCAUUCCUAUUUUUCUGUAGCUAAGAAUGUUAUUAUAUAGAUGUGACUUUUCCUUCAUAUCAGAAAAGAAUAUCCAGGCUAAGAGUUCUUUGGUCAAAGUGAUACAAAUAAUAUCCAAUAUUUUGUAUCAUGUUUCCAUUUGUUAUCUCUAAUUAUUUUGUGUUUCAUAAAUAGUAUGUUUAUAUCGCUUUUUGUAUAGAGUCAGCAAGUCAAAUAAUUUGUCAGUAAAAAUAAUCCUACACUGACUGAUAAUUGCUACAAACAUAGCUUGAGGGUCCUGUCUCCUAAGAGAGUAAAUCUAUGAAAAAUAAUAAAACAUUAUCUAUUUCAGCUUGCUAUGUAAUUUAGGAGUGUAAAACUAUAUUUCCUUAUAUCUGUAUGUAAGUUUGCUGUUAAAAUGUGAAUUUCUAAAUGUGCGUAUGAGAUUGUAUCUGCAGCUUAUUUCUGCAGGCAAUGUGAAUUUUUAUGUGUAUGUACAUAUGUAUAUUUUGGAUUAAUGGAAAAUGAAAGGGAACAAUUCUGCAUAGCUCCUUCACCAGUUAGCUUUAAAUUAUUGAUAUGUUUAUCUCUAAGCACUCUUGACAAACUGAAGAAAGUUUUAUAGUGGAGAACCUGUGGCUACUGUCAGAUAAAGGACUAUUAAAAAUGGCUAUAGGAGAUAUUUUGUGGUGGGUAACUUAUGUGGAAGGCCUAGGAACAGAACCAGCGUGUUGACGCUACAUUGCUGCAUGGUAAUUUGCAUGUAAAAUAACAGGAUGUGAGAAAAAUAGGGAGUGUUAAGAAUGACAUGGAAGUUUGUUAUGGAAACAAAAGAAAAACCAAAACAGUAAAGGUGAUGUACCUUCAACUCUUAGCUUAAGUUUUAUUUAGAGGCUUAGUAGAAGAAAGAGGGCAAAAUAGCAAUAUUCACAUUUUCUCCUCACCUUUUUUGGGAAGAAAAUAAAUCUUGAGUUUUCCUGCCGGUAUUCAUCAGGAAAUGUCCUUUGGAAAAUAGUGGUAAAGACACAUUUCAAGGUUGUUUUGUUUUGUUUUCAAGGAAGUUUGGUAACAGAAAGAAAAACAUUAUAGGAAAGAACGCAGUCUCCUUUUCAUGGCCUGGGAAACGAGGAACCAAAGGUAGGCUAAGAAAGCUGGAGAACGUUCGCCGUCUUUGUGAGUAGGGUCUCGGGACAUAAGUAUGGAAGCUACAUUUAGGAGUAUGGCGUUUCCAAACUCACAAGCAAGUGGAAACUCUAGAGCGCAAAAUGACCUUCUGAAAAUGCAGCUUUUGUUUUUGUUUCGAAUUCUUCACAUCGCUGUUCUGCUCUUUAACAGCUAGGGAGGGUAGGGACGGUGUGGAUUUUUAAGGUCUAAAAGCACGGAUGCAUUGGGCGGAUUGCCAGCUGCGACAAAGAGGAAUGUGUAGGGCCUGUAGGUCUUGGUCUGGGCUGGACUUUGCUUUGCCCCCCCCCCCAGAAAGUCUUCAAAACCUGAACUCGUUAGUGUUGACUAAAGCCUAAAAACACAGCAGGGUUUGUUUUUCAAGUUACAAUGUUGAAGUACAAUGUAUAGAUUGUUAUAAUCCAGAAAAGAUACCCAUACUUGUAUUAGGCUUCUAGGUCUGUUAGUGGAAAUUAUGCAAAUAGUGGGGGGAAAAGGACUGUUCUGAAUAGUUUUUUCAGUUAUAACUGUGAAAUUGCCAUGUGGCUAUGACCAUGUGGGUGUGGCGUAAAUUAUAUUAAUGUAAUUAAACUUAAAUCAAUUGUAUUUGUUUGCCUUUCAUUUACAUGUAGCAUAUAAAUCACCUUUCUAAAAUGUGUUGCCAAAGUUUAUUUGCCAACAUUGAUUUGGCAAAAUAUUCUUUAAAAUCAUUGUCAUUUUUCACACGUAUAAAUUCUUAAGUACCUUAUAUAUUCAAGUGUAAAUGUAAUCCCACUUUCCAUCAACCGUUCAUUUGUUCCAGACCCUUGUGUUAAAUGCUUCAAAGUUUUAUCCAUUUUUUCUGUGGGGGAAAAUUUUUUUUUUGGAGGGAUCAGUUUUGAAUUCCUAUGCUCUGUGCUGGGAACGUGUCUCAAGUUCCAUUUUAAAAAUGACUUCGGAGAACUGUUAGCAUGUAAUUUAAACAAGUUAUUUUUUCAAAGUGGAAUUUAAUUUUUUUGAAAUGAAUCUUGGUGGAGAAUGAGUAGGCCUAGGCUAACUCUUCAAUAUCAGAGGACAUUUACUUUCCUUUCUAAGGCUGGACAGGGGUUUAAUUUCACGGUAAUAUGAUAAUAAGAAAACGCAUCAAAGCAGAUGGGGGAAGGAAUGGUUAAAGUUUACCAUUGAGCCCUUUUUGCCUUUUCAGGGCCGCACCCGUGGCAUAUGGAAGUUCCUGGGCUAGGGGUUGAAUUAGACCUACAGCCACUGGUCUAUACCCCAGCCACAGCAACUCGGGCUCUGAGCCGAGUCUGUGAUCCACACCACAGCUCAUGGCAAUGCUGGAUCCUUAACCCACUGAACAAGGCCAGGGAUCGAACCCGUGUCGUCAUGGAUACUAGUCAGGUUCUUUAACCUCUGAGCCAUGAUGGGAACUCCACCAUUGAACCCUUGAGCACAAAUACGUAUCUGUAUUUUUCUCUAGCUUUUCAGUUGCUCACAUACCCAUGUCUGUGGAAAGUGACCUAAGUUUUUGGUCGAGUUACAUUUUAUUGUAUUUAUUAGAUUCACUUAUCUGGAUGACUGCAACAGAAAUAAAAAUUCACGUCUUUAGAAGCCAAACUGUGAUGACCUGCUUUUGUUGGAAUGAGACUGCUUGACUUUUUGGCAGCUCCCCUUGGUUGGUAGAUGGUUGAAACGGUUCGUUGAUGCUCACAGCUGAGUGUUUCGGGCUGUGGAAUCAUGGCAUUGUCCCAUCUUCAAGAAUGACUCACCUUCUGCUAGAUUUCUGUAUAGGAUUUAGCAGCUUGCUGUGUCCUAAAUUAGCUUCAUUUCUGCCGAAGUGCUCUUGUGUACACUGGUUUUGUAAUUUGCCAAAGUACUAAUUGGGGGUAGAGCACUUCUGCAGCGGGUUGAUGUCGUCACUGCUUGGACCAUUGUUUUAAAUGUAUGUAUUAGAGUUGCACGCAUACUGAAAUCACAUAUCUCGGUGUUCAAAACAACAUUCGAAUAAAGGAAAUGCAUUAAACACUUUAAAA